This 433-nucleotide ribosomal RNA is filed under the name uncultured bacterium. Its description in RNAcentral is "partial 16S ribosomal RNA". It matches the Rfam family "Bacterial small subunit ribosomal RNA", at positions 29 to 507 of the family's 1533-position model. The record is from RNAcentral.
AACGAACGCUGGCGGCAUGCCUAACACAUGCAAGUCGAACGAGACCUUCGGGUCUAGUGGCGCACGGGUGCGUAACGCGUGGGAACCUGCCCUUAGGUUCGGAAUAACUCCCCGAAAGGGGUGCUAAUACCGGAUAAUGUCUUCGGACCAAAGAUUUAUCGCCUUUGGUUGGGCCCGCGUUGGAUUAGCUAGUUGGUAGGGUAAAAGCCUACUAAGGCGACGAUCCAUAGCUGGUCUGAGAGGAUGAUCAGCCACACUGGGACUGAGACACGGCCCAGACUCCUACGGGAGGCAGCAGUGGGGAAUAUUGGAAAAUGGGCGAAAGCCUGAUCCAGCAAUGCCGGGUGAGUGAUGAAGGCCUUAGGGUUGUAAAGCGCUUUUACCCGGGAUGAUAAUGACAGUACCGGGAGAAUAAGCUCCGGCUAACUCCGUG